UUUGGAGUUGGUGCAAUGUGAUUAUUCAUCAGUCAGGAUUGCCUCAAAUUGUCUUCUUCAGUCGUGUUGAUCCCAGAUGCUGGCUCUCCCUCAACAGAAUUGAUCCAGGGAGUACAGUUGAAACUAUCAUCAAGUCCACCCAAUCCUCCAAACACAUUGCUUUGUGGAUUAUCAGCUUGGGUCGCAGUAUGCCCGGUGCAGUCAAUCGGUAAGGCUGACGUAGAAGCAGUAUAUAUGACCUCAUUUUCAGCCCCUUGCAUGGUGGUACCCACAGCUACUGGUUCUGGUACAUCAUCAACGCUUUGUAGGACGAAUGGCUCCCACAAUCUUUCGUCCCAUUCUAAGAUACUCAGUUCUUCGCUUGCAAAUGACGGUACAAAAUCGACACAGGAUGUGAGCAAUUCUUGUCCCAAAUUUUCGUCUUGCACUUGAGCUGCUAAUGGUGGACUGUUAUCGAUCCAUGGCUUGAGGCUUUGUGUCACUGGCAGUUCAGC
This 494-nucleotide long non-coding RNA is filed under the name Prunus persica (peach). Its description in RNAcentral is "long non-coding RNA (PPER_LNC005867)". The record is from RNAcentral. Lineage: Eukaryota; Viridiplantae; Streptophyta; Magnoliopsida; Rosales; Rosaceae.